UACAGAGGGUGCAAGCGUUAUCCGGAAUUACUGGGCGUAAAGCGCGCGUAGGCGGUUUGUUAAGUCGGAUGUGAAAGCCCCGGGCUCAACCUGGGAACUGCAUCGAAAACUGGCAAGCUAGAGUACGGUAGAGGGUGGUGGAAUUUCCUGUGUAGCGGUGAAAUGCGUAGAUAUAGGAAGGAAUACCAGUGGCGAAGGCGACCACCUGGACUGAUACUGACACUGAGGUGCGAAAGCUUGGGUAGCAAACAGG
Molecule: unclassified non-coding RNA, 253 nt
Filed under: uncultured Pseudomonadaceae bacterium
Lineage: Bacteria; Pseudomonadati; Pseudomonadota; Gammaproteobacteria; Pseudomonadales; Pseudomonadaceae
Description: contains 16S-23S intergenic spacer region
Rfam family: Bacterial small subunit ribosomal RNA
Source: RNAcentral